RNAcentral lists this ribosomal RNA (463 nucleotides) under uncultured bacterium. RNAcentral's name for it is "partial 16S ribosomal RNA". It matches the Rfam family "Bacterial small subunit ribosomal RNA", at positions 28 to 507 of the family's 1533-position model. The record is from RNAcentral.
GACGAACGCUGGCGGCGUGCUUAACACAUGCAAGUCGAACGGUAAGGCCCUUCGGGGUACACGAGUGGCGAACGGGUGAGUAACGCGUGAGUAACCUGCCCUUCACUCUGGGAUAACAGUUGGAAACGGCUGCUAAUACCGGAUAUUCAGCUCCUGUCGCAUGGUGGGGGUUGGAAAGUUUUGGUGGUGGAGGAUGGGCUCGCGUCCUAUCAGCUUGUUGGUGGGGUGAUGGCCUACCAAGGCGUCGACGGGUAGCCGACCUGAGAGGGCGACCGGCCACAUUGGGACUGAGAUACGGCCCAAACUCCUACGGGAGGCAGCAGUGGGGAAUAUUGCACAAUGGGCGGAAGCCUGAUGCAGCAACGCCGCGUGCGGGAUGACGGCCUUCGGGUUGUAAACCGCUUUCAGCAGGGACGAAGCGCAAGUGACGGUACCUGCAGAAGAAGCACCGGCUAACUACGUG